CUACGUAGGGGGCGAGCGUUGUCCGGAAUGAUUGGGCGUAAAGGGCGCGUAGGCGGCGCGGUAAGUCUGGAGUGAAAGUCCUGCUUUCAAGGUGGGAAUUGCUUUGGAUACUGCCGCGCUUGAGUGCAGGAGAGGUUAUCGGAAUUCCCGGUGUAGCGGUGAAAUGCGUAGAGAUCGGGAGGAACACCAGUGGUGAAGGCGGGUAACUGGACUGCAACUGACGCUGAGGCGCGAAAGUGUGGGGAGCAACCAGGAUUAGAUACCCUGGUAGUCCACACUGUAAACGAUGAAUGCUAGGUGUAAGAGGUAUCGACCCCUUUUGUGCCGGAGUCAACACAAUAAGCAUUCCGCCUGGGGAGUACGGCCGCAAGGUUGAAACUCAAAUGAAUUGGCGGGG
This 397-nucleotide ribosomal RNA is filed under the name uncultured bacterium. RNAcentral describes it as "partial 16S ribosomal RNA". It matches the Rfam family "Bacterial small subunit ribosomal RNA", at positions 523 to 918 of the family's 1533-position model. The record is from RNAcentral.